This 433-nucleotide long non-coding RNA is filed under the name Elaeis guineensis (African oil palm). Its description in RNAcentral is "long non-coding RNA (EGUI_LNC067004)". The record is from RNAcentral. Lineage: Eukaryota; Viridiplantae; Streptophyta; Magnoliopsida; Arecales; Arecaceae.
ACUUUCACUGUAAGAUACCAGAGGGAAAGAGGUGCUGAAUACCUUUCUUGGGGUGUGAGGUUUGGGUGGGCUUCUAUCUUCUUUGGUGUGAACAAAGAAGGAGACUGAUCUCCUCUCGAGUGAGAGACCUAUAACUGUUCUAAGAUUUUUAGGUGAGAGAAAAAUCAAAGAAGAGUGAGUCUUCAUCAAAUUUUUCUCCAUUAUCUAGCAUCUUUCUCUAAUCCAUCUUUAACAUCAAAAAGGUUUGAGGUGAUCAAAGAAGGAGAUCAAAUCAGAUCAGCCAUCUGAAGCCGACUAUGUGAGCUAGAACUCUCGCAUAGGGCUGAUCGAUCCGAGGGCUUUGUGUGGACGAUCCGUAGAGGUCGGAUGCUUGUGCAACUGUGAGUGACUAGAGAGGACAUUUAGUUCUACAUUCUCAGUUAUGGAGUUCGAC